GUGCCUGUGGCUCAAAGGAGUAGGGCAUUGGCCCCAUAUGCCAGAGGUGGCGGGUUCAAACCCAGCCUGGGCCA
Molecule: transfer RNA, 74 nt
Filed under: Otolemur garnettii (small-eared galago)
Lineage: Eukaryota; Metazoa; Chordata; Mammalia; Primates; Galagidae
Rfam family: tRNA
About the family: Transfer RNA (tRNA) molecules are approximately 80 nucleotides in length. Their secondary structure includes four short double-helical elements and three loops (D, anti-codon, and T loops).
Source: Rfam by way of RNAcentral